RNAcentral lists this ribosomal RNA (301 nucleotides) under uncultured bacterium. Its description in RNAcentral is "partial 16S ribosomal RNA". It matches the Rfam family "Bacterial small subunit ribosomal RNA", at positions 509 to 809 of the family's 1533-position model. The record is from RNAcentral.
CAGUAGCCGCGGGAAUACGUAGGUGGCAAGCGUUGUCCGGAAUUAUUGGGCGUAAAGGGCUCGCAGGCGGUUUCUUAAGUCUGAUGUGAAAGCCCCCGGCUCAACCGGGGAGGGUCAUUGGAAACUGGGAAACUUGAGUGCAGAAGAGGAGAGUGGAAUUCCACGUGUAGCGGUGAAAUGCGUAGAGAUGUGGAGGAACACCAGUGGCGAAGGCGGCUCUCUGGUCUGUAACUGACGCUGAGGAGCGAAAGCGUGGGGAGCGAACAGGAUUAGAUACCCCCGUAGUCCCUGUCUCUUAUAA